RNAcentral lists this ribosomal RNA (208 nucleotides) under uncultured bacterium. RNAcentral's name for it is "partial 16S ribosomal RNA". It matches the Rfam family "Bacterial small subunit ribosomal RNA", at positions 1286 to 1500 of the family's 1533-position model. The record is from RNAcentral.
UCUCAGUUCGGAUCGGAGGUCUGCAACCCGACUCCGUGAAGCUGGAUUCGCUAGUAAUCGCGCAUCAGCCAUGGCGCGGUGAAUACGUUCCCGGGCCUUGUACACACCGCCCGUCAAGCCAUGGAAGCCGGGAGUGCCUGAAGUAUGCAACCGCAAGGAGCGUCCUAAGGUAAAACCGGUGACUGGGGCUAAGUCGUAACAAGGUACC